Molecule: unclassified non-coding RNA, 219 nt
Filed under: Hevea brasiliensis (rubber tree)
Lineage: Eukaryota; Viridiplantae; Streptophyta; Magnoliopsida; Malpighiales; Euphorbiaceae
Source: RNAcentral
GGCCUGUGUUGUGAGGGCUCUGCGGACUCAAUUUACUCCUGGGGGACUUAUUUGACUCCGCAUUUUCUUUAAUGGGCACAGAAUUUCCAUCCAUUUCAUCAACUACUGCUUCCUCAUUAAUUCCAUCUGUUACCAUUCCAGGCAUCCUUAUCUUCGCAAAUCAGCAGAAACACUGAAUUCUAGUAAAUUCCCUCAGAACCCAGCCAUGAAGGAAGAUAC